GGAAAAGGCGGCAGCAUAAAAUAUACUGAUAAAUGGGCAGAGCGCUUUGAAGGAGACGGUUGGUCAAAAUGGGGUGAUAAAUGGGAUGAGAACUUUGAUCUAAAUGGACAUGGCGUGAAGCAAGGGGAGACAUGGUGGGCAGGAAAACAUGGAGAACGCUGGAAUCGUACUUGGGGAGAGGGCCACAAUGGUUCAGGAUGGGUUCACAAGUAUGGAAAG
RNAcentral lists this unclassified non-coding RNA (219 nucleotides) under Hevea brasiliensis (rubber tree). The record is from RNAcentral. Lineage: Eukaryota; Viridiplantae; Streptophyta; Magnoliopsida; Malpighiales; Euphorbiaceae.